UGCCUACGGGUGGCAGCAGUGGGGAAUAUUGGACAAUGGGGGAAACCCUGAUCCAGCAAUGCCGCGUGAAUGAUGAAGGCCUUAGGGUUGUAAAGUUCUUUUGCCUGUGAAGAUGAUGACGGUAACAGGAGAAAAAGCACCGGCUAACUUCGUGCCAGCAGCCGCGGUAAGACGAAGGGUGCUAGCGUUGUUCGGAAUGACUGGGCGUAAAGGGCGCGUAGGCGGUCUUUUAAGUUAGGCGUGAAAGCCCCGGGCUUAACCCGGGACGUGCGCUUAAGACUGAAAGGCUUGAGUAUGGAAGAGGUAAGUGGAAUUCCUAGUGUAGAGGUGAAAUUCGUAGAUAUUAGGAAGAACACCGGUGGCGAAGGCGGCUUACUGGUCCAUUACUGACGCUGAGGCGCGAAAGUGUGGGGAGCAAACAGGAUUAGAUACCCCGGUAGUC
RNAcentral lists this ribosomal RNA (442 nucleotides) under uncultured Rickettsiales bacterium. RNAcentral describes it as "bacterial SSU rRNA". It matches the Rfam family "Bacterial small subunit ribosomal RNA", at positions 335 to 795 of the family's 1533-position model. Lineage: Bacteria; Pseudomonadati; Pseudomonadota; Alphaproteobacteria; Rickettsiales. The record is from RNAcentral.